RNAcentral lists this ribosomal RNA (540 nucleotides) under uncultured bacterium. RNAcentral describes it as "bacterial SSU rRNA". It matches the Rfam family "Bacterial small subunit ribosomal RNA", at positions 356 to 896 of the family's 1533-position model. The record is from RNAcentral.
GAGGAAUAUUGGUCAAUGGGCGAGAGCCUGAACCAGCCAAGUCGCGUGAAGGAUGACUGUCUUAUGGAUUGUAAACUUCUUUUAUACGGGAAUAACAAGAGUCACGUGUGGCUCCCUGCAUGUACCGUAUGAGUAAGCAUCGGCUAACUCCGUGCCAGCAGCCGCGGUAAUACGGAGGAUGCGAGCGUUAUCCGGAUUUAUUGGGUUUAAAGGGUGCGUAGGCGGCCUGUUAAGUCAGCGGUGAAAUCUAGGAGCUUAACUCCUAAAUUGCCAUUGAUACUGGCGGGCUUGAGUGUAGAUGAGGUAGGCGGAAUGCGUGGUGUAGCGGUGGAAUGCAUAGAUAUCACGCAGAACUCCGAUUGCGAAGGCAGCUUACUAAGGUACAACUGACGCUGAAGCACGAAAGCGUGGGUAUCAAACAGGAUUAGAUACCCUGGUAGUCCACGCAGUAAACGAUGAUAACUGGGCGUAUGCGAUAUACAGUAUGCUCCUAAGCGAAAGCGUUAAGUUAUCCACCUGGGGAGUACGCCGGCAACGGUG